This 250-nucleotide ribosomal RNA is filed under the name uncultured bacterium. Its description in RNAcentral is "partial 16S ribosomal RNA". It matches the Rfam family "Bacterial small subunit ribosomal RNA", at positions 524 to 773 of the family's 1533-position model. The record is from RNAcentral.
UACGGAGGAUCCGAGCGUUAUCCGGAUUUAUUGGGUUUAAAGGGUGCGUAGGCGGCCUAUUAAGUCAGGGGUGAAAUACGGCAGCUCAACUGUCGCAGUGCCUUUGAUACUGAUAGGCUUGAAUUAGAUUGAAGAAGGCGGAAUGAGACAAGUAGCGGUGAAAUGCAUAGAUAUGUCUCAGAACUCCGAUUGCGAAGGCAGCUUUCUAAGUCUUUAUUGACGCUGAUGCACGAAAGCGUGGGGAUCGAAC